CUCGUUUCGUCCACUUCGAUGCUCGUGGUAGUCGGGGAUGUGACGAUGUUGCUGGCGUCGAGGUUCGCUUGCGCGAGGUGCUAUGGCAUGAAGGGCCGCCUGGAGAGAUAUUUGAGAGGAAAGUUGAGGGGGUGCAUAGGGACUACUAAGAGGAGGAGGAGGGACGGCGGUAUGCCAAAGAGGAGGAGAGGGGCAAGAUGAGAGGAAGAGGGAGUGCCACUAGAGACCGAGAGGGAGAGGGGGGGUUCUCAAGUCGG
RNAcentral lists this long non-coding RNA (257 nucleotides) under Elaeis guineensis (African oil palm). RNAcentral describes it as "long non-coding RNA (EGUI_LNC036394)". The record is from RNAcentral. Lineage: Eukaryota; Viridiplantae; Streptophyta; Magnoliopsida; Arecales; Arecaceae.